GAGACAUGGCUCAGCUGGUUAGCGCGCUGCGUUCACAUCGCAGAGGUCGUGGGUUCAAGUCCCUCUGUCUCC
RNAcentral lists this transfer RNA (72 nucleotides) under chicken gut metagenome. It matches the Rfam family "tRNA". Rfam says of the family: Transfer RNA (tRNA) molecules are approximately 80 nucleotides in length. Their secondary structure includes four short double-helical elements and three loops (D, anti-codon, and T loops). The record is from RNAcentral.